CUUGCGUAAAAGUCUAAAAGUAUUUGGUUUUAAAUAUACUUAAGUAUCAAAAGUAAAUGUAAUUGCAAAAAUAUACUUAAGUAUCAAAAGUAAAUGUAAUUGAAAAAAUAUACUUAAGUAUCAAAAGUAAAAAUGAUUUUAAAUUCCUUAUCUUAAGCAAACCAGAUGGCACCGUUUCAUUUUUUUAUUUUUUAUUUACGGAUAGCCAGGGGCACACUCCAAUACUCAGACAUAAUUUACAAACGAAACGUGUGUUUAGUGAGUCCGCCAGAUCAGAGGCAGUAGGGAUGACCAGGGAUGUUCUCUUGAUAAGUGCAUGUAUUGAAACAUUUUCAUGUCCUGCUACCCAUUCAAAAGUACUUUUGGGUGUCAGGGAAAAUGUACGGAGUAAAAAGUACAUUAUUUUCUUUAGGAAUGUAGUGAAGUAAAAGUUGUCAAAAACAUGAAUAGGAAAGAUACCCCCCAAAAUACUUAAGUAGUACUUUAAAGUAGUUUUACUUAUGUACUUUACACAUCUGAUUACUCUAACGGGUUAGCUGACAGACUUGUGUGUGUGGCUGUUUGCAGGUGCGUGCGUGCACUUGAUAGACGGCCCCUGAUAGACUGAUGCCCCUGAUCCACCACCCUCCAGGAAGUGAAGAGAGGGACAGAGAGAAAUAAAGAGGGAGAGAAGAGAAAAGAGUGGUAGAGAAGAGAAGGGAGAUAAUAGAGAAGGGUGAAGAGAGACUAGAGAACCGAGAGGGAUAUCUGAGGAGAGGAAGGAGUUGGUCUCUCAUCCAGUAAUAAUAUUUUCUGGAGCUCUCUGCAAAACAUCUGGUUCUCUUCAGACAAGCCUUAUUGCUACUGACACUACUUAUUUGUCUUUCACCCACACCUCUCCCACCUACAUGCACACGUAUACACAAGUACACACACGUGCACACUGCACUGACACACAAGUGUGUACCCCCUGUCCCCUCUCAGUUGCUUUUGGCUGGAAACUUGUUUCCCAAAGAGUUGCUGGUUCAAGCCUCGUUCCGGUUGUUUCCCCUAAAUUGUUACGCCUCCUUCACAGACCGGAUGGCACUUCAUGUUCUUUUCCUAUAGAAAACCCUUGUGUGGCUAUUCAAUGGGCCGGGUUGUUUUAGUUAUGAAUGAAACGGUCAAACAAACUAUAACUGUAAAAACCUGUGGUGUAGCAAUGUUGUAGGUUUACUGGCAGUGUUUAGUAAAAUCUCUC
RNAcentral lists this long non-coding RNA (1219 nucleotides) under Salmo salar (Atlantic salmon). RNAcentral describes it as "lncRNA (ENSSSAG00000081847.1)". Lineage: Eukaryota; Metazoa; Chordata; Actinopteri; Salmoniformes; Salmonidae. The record is from RNAcentral.